This is a long non-coding RNA of Heterocephalus glaber (naked mole-rat), 2074 nucleotides long. Lineage: Eukaryota; Metazoa; Chordata; Mammalia; Rodentia; Bathyergidae. The record is from Ensembl.
GGAGAGAAUCAGCAACUCACUGCACACAGUAGGGGUGCAAUAAAUGUUAGCUGAACCGAGCAUAGUGAAAUAAGCAUAGGCCCACGGGGAAGAGAGAAAAAGGUGUUCUGCACACACAUGCAUGGAAAUGUGCCUCUGUGUGCGCCUCUCUGCAGGGAGCAAGGAGCAAAGAAGGCAUUUGCCAUCUUCCAAGCUGGUUCCCGACAUCAUCGUGAGGCCUUGUGGUCUCAACAUCACCCCGCACAAAGACAGCGCGGCGGGAUGUGUGCUCCCAGGCGGUCCAGGGAAAACGUGCGACCUUCACUGGGGUCUGACAUUGUUUGCAGUGUCACUUCAGCAUCCUUUUCUGUCUUUCCUUUCUCUCUCCUUUCUUUAAGGGAGAUUCUUCAGAGUGAAGACAGAAGUAUGUAGAAAAGGGAAGGCAUCCCGGUGACAAUUACCGAGACCUGGUGGCAGGAGGCCUCCCUCACCUCAUGCUGCCUCGAAGCUGCUCUGUGCGUGAUUUCACCUGAUGGUGACUUCCGUCAAUUCCUGUCUAUUUUCACUCCUUUUCUCAGGUCACUGUGGCUUCAAGGGACUUUGGAGUAAGUCUCGAAGGAGGCAGGAAAUGCUGAUGAUCACCAGUUUACAGAACCAGAAGUUCUGAGGACUCCAGGGACACCCAGCAGACAUCCUUGCCUGAGGCUUCAGAGGAAGGGCUAAAGAAUGGAGGUACAAACCAUGUGCAUGGAAAGUGACUCUUCUCGGGUGAAGAACCAUCUACCCGCCCUAGCAAGAGUGUGUGCCCACUCUAACAGUCCCACGGCAGGAAUGUUGGGUACACGGGAACCCUGGCAGCAGCUGCUAAGGACUCUGGAGCCUACGUGACUUCCCAUAUCAGAGCCUCCCCAAUGAUCAGAUUUUUACAAGACUGGGCACUGGAUUUCUACCAUUAUAAAGACACUUUCAGGUCACUUUAUCUGGGGUCUUGGUUAUGAGCAAUUUUUAGAUCUAUGUGAAAUUAGUCGAGAUGUCGUAGGUUACUUUACAUAUACAGCAACCCCCCUUUUCCAAAAUAUAAUUGUAAAGAAAGAAAUAAAGAGUGGCUAAAGUUCUAUUUUCACUGGACACUGAUGCUUUUUAUUUCUGAGAAUGGCAACCAGGCUAAGACGGUAGUUAUUGGCUCUUAUCAUAUCCACAUUUCCAAUGAGCAUAGUUCCUGAUAUAUCAACCCACAGUCAAUACAAGGAUGCAAAGAAAGAGAAGCAGACUGCUUUUAAAAGCAGAUAAAUCAACAAUACCAAGAUAGAACAGUCAGAGAAGAGACUGCAAAAAUAUAAGAAAUAGAUAUGGUAAUUUAAAAUCAAUACAUAAAGUCCAGGACUCAUAUACAUGGACAAUCUUUCACCCCUAAAAACCUCUUAAGGAUAGCAAAAACAUAGCUUGACAUAAUAAUGGAUGUCUAGAAUAUUUUUGAAUCAUAUUCUACUUUCAAAGUACAUAACUAAUUAAUAAAUAUUUCCAGAGCAUUAAUCAUCUUGAAACUGUGGUUAUUUUAAAUCUCUCAAUUUAUGUGAUGUCCCACACAUAAGCUAUUUUGUACAGUUCAUUGUUAAAUAAGCUAUACCUGAGUGUCAUAUAUGUACUCAGAGUUACAAUCAUGUAUUCUAUACCUACUUUGUCAGGCCUUGCCCAUCUGUAAUGUCCAUGAAUCACACUCCCUGGAUAUGUGUGUCUAAUAACUCCUGGCCUAAUUUGGACCCUGACAAAUAAACAGCUCAUUACAACAUUCCAUAAAACUUCUAGGAAAGGAAAGUUAUAUGCAAUGUGGAUGAAAGAAAAACAUCACUGUAAUUAUAAGGAGCCAAUGCUAAAUGAUAACAGAUAAACCACGUAAAAACUGGACAAAGAGGAUGAGUCAGUUGUCUGCCGAGAAGCAAAUCCAAACCUUUUCACAUUUGUGAAAAGGUGCAGAAAGCACAAUGUAAAAGAGCAACAAGCUAUCACUCCUCACCUAUCAGGUUAGCAAAAGUAAAAGAGAACUGGUAAUAUGUGCUGCUGACAAAGAUAUGGGGAAAGUUUCCUUCACACAUGC